AGAGAGAUGGCAGAGCGGUUUAAUGCAUCUAACUUGAAAUUAGACAAAAAAAUUUUCGUGGGUUCAAAUCCCAUUCUCUCUU
This is a non-coding RNA of Besnoitia besnoiti, 82 nucleotides long. Lineage: Eukaryota; Apicomplexa; Conoidasida; Eucoccidiorida; Sarcocystidae. The record is from the annotation of a RefSeq genome assembly.